This 485-nucleotide ribosomal RNA is filed under the name uncultured Desulfobulbus sp. RNAcentral's name for it is "bacterial SSU rRNA". It matches the Rfam family "Bacterial small subunit ribosomal RNA", at positions 903 to 1382 of the family's 1533-position model. The record is from RNAcentral. Lineage: Bacteria; Pseudomonadati; Thermodesulfobacteriota; Desulfobulbia; Desulfobulbales; Desulfobulbaceae.
AAAUGAAGUUGACGGGGCCCGCACAAGCGGUGGAGUAUGUGGUUUAAUUCGAUGCAACGCGAAGAACCUUACCUGGUCUUGACAUCCCGGAGACCCUUAGGAAACUAGGGGGUGCUUCCAUCUGGAAGAAUCUGGAGACAGGUGCUGCAUGGCUGUCGUCAGCUCGUGUCGUGAGAUGUUGGGUUAAGUCCCGCAACGAGCGCAACCCUUGCCUUUAGUUGCCAGCAGUUCGGCUGGGCACUCUAAAGGGACUGCCGGUGUUAAACCGGAGGAAGGUGGGGAUGACGUCAAGUCCUCAUGGCCUUUAUGACCAGGGCUACACACGUACUACAAUGGCCGAUACAAAGGGCAGCGACACUGCGAGGUGAAGCCAAUCCCGUAAAAUCGGUCUCAGUCCGGAUUGGAGUCUGCAACUCGACUCCAUGAAGUUGGAAUCGCUAGUAAUCGUGGAUCAGCAUGCCACGGUGAAUACGUUCCCGGGCCUU